AACAGGAUGGUGUAAAAAGGCACAUAAAGUUUUGAUCUUUAAGGGAGUUUUUCGUAAAAUUUCUUGUUU
This 69-nucleotide transfer RNA is filed under the name Nemertoderma westbladi. RNAcentral describes it as "tRNA-Gln". Lineage: Eukaryota; Metazoa; Xenacoelomorpha; Nemertodermatida; Nemertodermatidae. The record is from RNAcentral.